This 158-nucleotide ribosomal RNA is filed under the name Helicoma isiola. Its description in RNAcentral is "5.8S ribosomal RNA". It matches the Rfam family "5.8S ribosomal RNA". From Rfam's summary of the family: 5.8S ribosomal RNA (5.8S rRNA) is a component of the large subunit of the eukaryotic ribosome. It is transcribed by RNA polymerase I as part of the 45S precursor that also contains 18S and 28S rRNA. The record is from RNAcentral. Lineage: Eukaryota; Fungi; Ascomycota; Dothideomycetes; Tubeufiales; Tubeufiaceae.
CAACUUUCAACAACGGAUCUCUUGGUUCUGGCAUCGAUGAAGAACGCAGCGAAAUGCGAUAAGUAGUGUGAAUUGCAGAAUUCAGUGAAUCAUCGAAUCUUUGAACGCACAUUGCGCCCCAUGGCAUUCCGUGGGGCAUGCCUGUUCGAGCGUCAUUA